UGGGGAAUCUUAGACAAUGGGCGAAAGCCUGAUCUAGCCAUGCCGCGUGAGUGAUGAAGGCCCUAGGGUCGUAAAGCUCUUUCAACUGUGAAGAUAAUGACGGUAGCAGUAGAAGAAACCCCGGCUAACUCCGUG
Molecule: ribosomal RNA, 135 nt
Filed under: uncultured marine bacterium
Lineage: Bacteria
Description: partial 16S ribosomal RNA
Rfam family: Bacterial small subunit ribosomal RNA
Source: RNAcentral